Molecule: ribosomal RNA, 60 nt
Filed under: Sanionia uncinata
Lineage: Eukaryota; Viridiplantae; Streptophyta; Bryopsida; Hypnales; Amblystegiaceae
Description: partial 26S ribosomal RNA
Source: RNAcentral
CAGACCUCUAAUCGGAAAAGACUACCCGCUGAGUUUAAGCAUAUCAUAAGCCGGAAGGAA